AUUGGACGCUGGCGGCAUGCUUUACACAUGCAAGUCGAGCGGAGCGAGGGUGCUUGCACCUUAGCUUAGCGGCGGACGGGUGAGUAAUGCUUAGGAAUCUGCCUAUUAGUGGGGGACAACAUUCCGAAAGGAAUGCUAAUACCGCAUACGCCCUACGGGGGAAAGCAGGGGAUCUUCGGACCUUGCGCUAAUAGAUGAGCCUAAGUCAGAUUAGCUAGUUGGUGGGGUAAAGGCCUACCAAGGCGACGAUCUGUAGCGGGUCUGAGAGGAUGAUCCGCCACACUGGGACUGAGACACGGCCCAGACUCCUACGGGAGGCAGCAGUGGGGAAUAUUGGACAAUGGGCGAAAGCCUGAUCCAGCCAUGCCGCGUGUGUGAAGAAGGCCUUUUGGUUGUAAAGCACUUUAAGCGAGGAGGAGGCUACUUGGAUUAAUACUCUAGGAUAGUGGACGUUACUCGCAGAAUAAGCACCGGCUAACUCUGUGCC
RNAcentral lists this ribosomal RNA (487 nucleotides) under uncultured bacterium. Its description in RNAcentral is "bacterial SSU rRNA". It matches the Rfam family "Bacterial small subunit ribosomal RNA", at positions 30 to 509 of the family's 1533-position model. The record is from RNAcentral.